Molecule: ribosomal RNA, 403 nt
Filed under: uncultured bacterium
Lineage: Bacteria
Description: bacterial SSU rRNA
Rfam family: Bacterial small subunit ribosomal RNA
Source: RNAcentral
UAGGGAAUAUUAGAAAUGGACGAAAGUCUGAUCUAGCAACACCGCGUGUGCGAUGAAGGCCUUCGGGUUGUAAAGCACUUUUUGGAAGGAUUAGGAAGGAAUGUACUUCCAGAAUAAGUCUCGGCUAACUACGUGCCAGCAGCCGCGGUAACACGUAGGAGGCGAACGUUAUCCGGAUUUACUGGGCGUAAAGCGCGUGUAGGUGGUUCUGUAAGUAGGGCGUGAAAGCUCCUGGCUCAACUGGGAGAGGCCGUUCUAAACUGCAGAGCUAGAGGAUGGUAGAGGGAGGUGGAAUUCCGGGUGUAGCGGUGGAAUGCGCAGAUAUCCGGAGGAACACCAGUGGCGAAGGCGGCCUCCUGGACCAUUCCUGACACUCAGACGCGAAAGCUAGGGUAGCAAACGG